CAUUUGGUUAAGCUCAGCACGAGGAACUUCCGUUUUCUUAUCUUGAACAUCAUGUACUGUUCCAGCCCACAGCCAGCCACCCAGGAAGGAAGCAUUUUGUUCCUUUUAGACAGGGGGUCUGGCCAGCCAUAUGGCCAUGUUGUCGAAAGGCUCUAUCCUUUAUAUAUUGAAAGAAGAAAGUAGAACCAUUUCUGGGUCCCAGCUGUGGGAAGAGCUCCUGUGGCUGUGAAUUCUGACUUCUGGGUCUUGGCACAAGGUGUGGCCAGCAAGCUAAGCUGUCCUGAGGGUGUGCAGGGCCAGGGGCUGAAGACAGUGUUGGAGCAUCCACAGACUGGUUUGUCUCAAGAAGCAUGUUACUAAAUAUGAAAUAGCAAAAUCUGCAAGUGGGUUUACUUUUCCCCCAUAGAUUAGAAUGGAUUCAAUAUUAUCUCUUUAUUAGCGUCACUUUUAAUCACUUGUAUAACAAGUAGGACAGAAAGGUGGCUUGAAAGUCAAUCAUGUGAGAAUUCCAGAUAAAUUGACUUUGCUCACAACAAUCUGUUAUUCAUGUGACUAUCAACUGUCAUGUGUGCUGGGGCAAAAAAAGAAGAUAAGGAUUCACUGGUAUCAGAUAGUUCCAGGAGGGGAAACCCAGGAUUGAACUUUUUCAGCCUUCUAUGGUAAAAUUUCCUGCUCUGUCGGUGCGCCAAAGCUUUUUUCAGUUUCCUAAACUCCCAUAUUCAAGAAGAUAAGCUAUUUUCUCUUCUUUCUCAUCCUUCCUUGACAAAGCAAAGCAUAUUUUCAUUGUCUACUCUGUGUCAUCCAUGCUUGGUUCCUGUCCUCAAAGAGCUUAUAGUUCAAAUAAAGGAGAGGGAGCAUUUUACAAGGGAAUUAAAGGUAAAAGAUUCUGAAAGCCAGUUUAAAAAGUCGUGAGGGAGGGGUCUGGGAGAAGCUGAGCAGGGGUGAAAGGGUACGAAACAUUAUGGAAGGAGAACAGGGGAGCACCCUGACUACUGGGUGGAAACACCAAUCAGUGGGUAGAAACCACACAGUGGUAACACUGAUCAGUGGGUAGAAAACAAUGACAGCAGGUAUAUGAGGCAUGGAACACUUGGCUUAUUGUAAAGUUUUCAAAAUAUGCAGUCCUUUCUAUCCACCAGGGGUUGGGAGUUGUCUUUGUAUAUCAACCGUGGAAGGGCUGUUUUGGUUCAUCAUUCUGUGGUCUACCUGGGUAGACCUGAUGCAGCCGUGUUUCUGAGGAAAGGAAGAACAGCUUUUGUUUUGUGAUAUGUAAUGGUAGAUGUAGUGCCAUGGAAUGAUGCAGAUUUCAUUCAGAUAUUCUUGGAUCUUGGCCCCAGGACUCACUCAUUCUUCCCUAUAUGAGCAUUGGUAGUUACAGGUUUUAUCCUUCCUUUAAUUGUAAGUCUUUUGAAGCCAAAAACUGUAUCCAAUUUGUCACUGUCUCCUAACAGUACUUAGCAGUGUCUGAUGCAUCAUAGGGAGUUUGUAAAUGUUUGGAUAAAUAAAGGGAAAACAAAAACAACCACAAAAAAA
This is a long non-coding RNA of Homo sapiens (human), 1533 nucleotides long. Ensembl annotates it as long intergenic non-protein coding RNA 3007. Lineage: Eukaryota; Metazoa; Chordata; Mammalia; Primates; Hominidae. The record is from Ensembl.